CCUACGGGAGGCAGCAGUGAGGAAUAUUGGUCAAUGGACGAGAGUCUGAACCAGCCAAGUCGCGUGAAGGAUGACGGCCCUAUGGGUUGUAAACUUCUUUUAUAUGGGAAUAAAACAGGGUAUGCAUACCCUCUUGUAUGUACCAUAUGAAUAAGGAUCGGCUAACUCCGUGCAAGCAGCCGCUGUAAUAAUGAGGAUCCGAGCGUUAGCCGGAUUUAUUGGGUUUAAAGGUAGGUAAGGUGGAUUGUUAAGUGAAUUGUGAAAGUUUGCGGCUAAACCGUCAAAGUGCAUGUGAAACUGGCAGUCUUGAGUACAGUAGAGGUGGGCGGAAUUCGGGGUGUAGCGGUGAAAUGCUUAGAUCUCACGAAGAACUCCGAUUGCGAAGGCAGCUCACUGGACUGCAACUGACACUGAUGCUCGAAAGUGUGGGUAUCAAACAGGAUUAGAUCCCUGUAGUC
This 458-nucleotide ribosomal RNA is filed under the name uncultured bacterium. RNAcentral describes it as "partial 16S ribosomal RNA". It matches the Rfam family "Bacterial small subunit ribosomal RNA", at positions 338 to 795 of the family's 1533-position model. The record is from RNAcentral.